This is a long non-coding RNA of Brienomyrus brachyistius, 279 nucleotides long. RefSeq lists it as uncharacterized. The record is from RefSeq and is a predicted model, not a curated record. Lineage: Eukaryota; Metazoa; Chordata; Actinopteri; Osteoglossiformes; Mormyridae. The transcript has 3 exons.
UGCCACCCACAGGACUACACAUACACUUGUAAACAGGUGGACUAACAUACGCAUGUGACAGAAGAUUAACGGUUAACUGACACAUUAACAAGAAUGUUUUCCAGAAACAAAACUAACCAGCUAACCAGAAAAAUGAUAAUUUUAUUGUGCUUCUUGACUGCAUUGGCACCAACUGCUACCAGUGCCACUGUUACUUCAGACACGACUGCAGACACUGUUAUAACAGAACCUGUCACGUUGACUACUGAAGAGUUGACAACUACUGGGGAUACCUCUGUA